Molecule: long non-coding RNA, 512 nt
Organism: Amphiprion ocellaris (clown anemonefish)
Lineage: Eukaryota; Metazoa; Chordata; Actinopteri; Pomacentridae
Exons: 3
Source: RefSeq, a predicted model, not a curated record
AUGCCGGCUCACUGUGCUGCAAAUUACACACUACGUUGUACGAUUGAGACAAGGAAACUUGGAAUGACUUUUCAUAGGUUUCCCAGAGACUAUGGGUUGAGGAGGAAGUGGAAGUUUGUCGGCUUAGACCUGGUGUCAUUCCAUCAGUGUUAAACUUCCCGGCUCAUCUUGGAAGAGUACGUGCCAGAAAGACCACGACCAAGCAGCCUUGAGAUCUUAGGCAGCGUCUCCCUGAGGUCCCUCUCUAUCUCCCUACACAUCCACCAACCACUGGAACACAUCUCCAAAGUUCUGCUGGGCCAGCUCAGCUUCCCCUCAGAAGAAGUGCCGCCACCUGCCAGAUGAAGGAGCCUUUUGAGAGGCAGCUGGCAUCGUGAUUGGACUGUUCUUUGGUCUGUUCCAAUCCAGCUUCAGCUCCAGAGACGUCAGGCGGGACGAGUCAACGGAGGCCGGGUGGACGAAGGCAUGCAGCUGAGUACAAUCCAGAAAACAACUGAGGAGGAGUGCAGGGC